AUCCACCUGAGUCGGAUAUGAUCACCCGCCGAACUUAAGCAUAUCAGUAAGCGGAGGAAAAGAAACCAACCGGGAUUUCCUUAGUAACGGCGAGUGAAA
Molecule: ribosomal RNA, 99 nt
Filed under: Aphelenchoides bicaudatus
Lineage: Eukaryota; Metazoa; Nematoda; Chromadorea; Rhabditida; Aphelenchoididae
Description: partial 28S ribosomal RNA
Rfam family: Eukaryotic large subunit ribosomal RNA
Source: RNAcentral